This 642-nucleotide ribosomal RNA is filed under the name uncultured bacterium. Its description in RNAcentral is "bacterial SSU rRNA". It matches the Rfam family "Bacterial small subunit ribosomal RNA", at positions 202 to 842 of the family's 1533-position model. The record is from RNAcentral.
CAAAGGUUGAUUCCGGUGGCGGAUGGGCAUGCGUCGCAUUAGUUAGUUGGCGGUGUAACGGACCACCAAGACGACGAUGCGUAGGGGUUCUGAGAGGAAGGUCCCCCACACUGGUACUGAGACACGGACCAGACUCCUACGGGAGGCAGCAGUGAGGAAUAUUGGUCAAUGGGCGGGAGCCUGAACCAGCCAAGUCGCGUGAGGGAUGACGGCCCUAUGGGUUGUAAACCUCUUUUGCCGGGGAGCAAAGUGCCGCACGUGUGCGGUUUGGAGAGUACCCGGAGAAAAAGCAUCGGCUAACUCCGUGCCAGCAGCCGCGGUAAUACGGAGGAUGCGAGCGUUAUCCGGAUUUAUUGGGUUUAAAGGGUGCGUAGGCGGACGCUUAAGUCAGCGGUAAAAUUGCGGGGCUCAACCUCGUCGAGCCGUUGAAACUGGGUGCCUUGAGUGGGCGAGAAGUACGCGGAAUGCGUGGUGUAGCGGUGAAAUGCAUAGAUAUCACGCAGAACUCCGAUUGCGAAGGCAGCGUACCGGCGCCCAACUGACGCUGAAGCACGAAGGCGUGGGUAUCGAACAGGACUAGAUACCCUGGUAGUCCACGCAGUAAACGAUGAAUGCUAGUUGUCCGGGGCGAUUGAGUUCUGG